Rhodamnia argentea is the source of this 190-nucleotide long non-coding RNA. RefSeq lists it as uncharacterized. The record is from RefSeq and is a predicted model, not a curated record. The transcript has 4 exons. NCBI's taxonomy places the organism in Eukaryota, Viridiplantae, Streptophyta, Magnoliopsida, Myrtales, Myrtaceae.
ACUGGUUACUUGCUCCUAUUUAUAGAUUAGAGCAAGCUCGUCCAAAGUAACGUCUUUGCUAAUCAUAAAUUUAGGUAACAGCUCAUUUGCAUCAUAUCUUGGGUCCCUUCCCUUCACCCAUGUGCAUUUAGUCUAGGAAUUUGUAUCUCGUUACCCUUAGCUUCAAUAACUGUGAGUAAAUCUAAAGAGU